This 329-nucleotide unclassified non-coding RNA is filed under the name soil metagenome. RNAcentral describes it as "partial contains 5.8S ribosomal RNA, internal transcribed spacer 2, and large subunit ribosomal RNA". The stretch from base 1 to 120 matches the Rfam family "5.8S ribosomal RNA", at positions 35 to 154 of the family's 154-position model. The record is from RNAcentral.
GAUGAAGAACGUAGCGAAAUGCGAUAAGUAAUGUGAAUUGCAGAAUUCAGUGAAUCAUCGAAUCUUUGAACGCACAUUGCGCCCUCUGGUAUUCCGGGGGGCAUGCCUGUUCGAGCGUCAUUAUAACCACUCAAGCUCUCGCUUGGUAUUGGGGUUCGCGGUUUCGCGGCCCCUAAAAUCAGUGGCGGUGCCUGUCGACUCUACGCGUAGUAAUACUUCUCGCGAUUGAGUUCGAUAGGUCUACUUGCCAGUAACCCCCAAUUUUUACAGGUUGACCUCGGAUCAGGUAGGGAUACCCGCUGAACUUAAGCAUAUCAAUAAGCGGAGGA